GCUUCUUUCCUCCCUCGGCCUCCUCCUCCUUCCUGUUCGCCUUCUUCUCGUGUUUUUCGUGGAAAGCAUAACCCCCGGCCCCGACAGCUGCGGUCCCCAAGAUCUCCUCCUCUAGCUUGUGCUUGUGAGCGUGCUCCGGGUCCUUCUUCGCCUCAUGCUUCUCAUACAGUCCGAAACCACCAGCAGCAACGGCCCCCGUCUCGCCAAGGUGCUCCUUGUGCUUGGCGUGCUUCUCCUC
RNAcentral lists this unclassified non-coding RNA (238 nucleotides) under Hevea brasiliensis (rubber tree). The record is from RNAcentral. Lineage: Eukaryota; Viridiplantae; Streptophyta; Magnoliopsida; Malpighiales; Euphorbiaceae.